AAUAUUUGACAAUGGGCGAAAGCCUGAUCCAGCCAUGCCGCGUGUGUGAAGAAGGUCUUCGGAUUGUAAAGCACUCUUAGUUGGGAGGAAGGGCAGUAAGUUAAUACCUUGCUGUUUUGACGUUACCGACAGAAUAAGCACCGGCUAACUUCGUGCCAGCAACCGCGGUAAUACGAAGGGUGCAAGCGUUAAUCGGAAUUACUGGGCGUGAAGCGCGCGUAGGUGGUUUGUUAAGUUGGAAGUGAAAGCCCCGGGCUCAACCUGGGAACUGCUUUCAAAACUGACGAGCUAGAGUACGGUAGGGGGUAGUGGAAUUUCCUGUGUAGCGGUGAAAUGCGUAGAUAUAGGAAGGAACAUCAGUGGCGAAGGCGACUACCUGGACUGAUACUGACACUGAGGUGCGAAAGCGUGGGGAGCAAACAGG
This 424-nucleotide ribosomal RNA is filed under the name uncultured bacterium. Its description in RNAcentral is "partial 16S ribosomal RNA". It matches the Rfam family "Bacterial small subunit ribosomal RNA", at positions 360 to 776 of the family's 1533-position model. The record is from RNAcentral.